GUGGGGAAUAUUGGACAAUGGGCGCAAGCCUGAUCCAGCAAUGCCGCGUGGGUGAAGAAGGCCUUCGGGUUGUAAAGCACUUUCAGCGGGGAGGAAGGCGAUAAGGUUAAUAACCUUGUCGAUCGACGUUACCCGCAGAAGAAGCACCGGCUAACUCCGUGCCAGCAGCCGCGGUAAUACGGAGGGUGCAAGCGUUAAUCGGAAUUACUGGGCGUAAAGCGCACGCAGGCGGUCUGUCAAGUCGGAUGUGAAAUCCCCGGGCUCAACCUGGGAACUGCAUUCGAAACUGGCAGGCUAGAGUCUUGUAGAGGGGGGUAGAAUUCCAGGUGUAGCGGUGAAAUGCGUAGAGAUCUGGAGGAAUACCGGUGGCGAAGGCGGCCCCCUGGACAAAGACUGACGCUCAGGUGCGAAAGCGUGGGGAGCAAACAGGAUUAGAUACCCGAGUAGUCC
RNAcentral lists this ribosomal RNA (450 nucleotides) under uncultured bacterium. RNAcentral's name for it is "partial 16S ribosomal RNA". It matches the Rfam family "Bacterial small subunit ribosomal RNA", at positions 354 to 796 of the family's 1533-position model. The record is from RNAcentral.